RNAcentral lists this ribosomal RNA (406 nucleotides) under uncultured bacterium. RNAcentral's name for it is "bacterial SSU rRNA". It matches the Rfam family "Bacterial small subunit ribosomal RNA", at positions 28 to 409 of the family's 1533-position model. The record is from RNAcentral.
GACGAACGCUGGCGGCGUGCUUAACACAUGCAAGUCGAACGAAGAGCGAUGGAAGCUUGCUUCUAUCAAUCUUAGUGGCGAACGGGUGAGUAACGCGUAAUCAACCUGCCCUUCAGAGGGGGACAACAGUUGGAAACGACUGCUAAUACCGCAUACGAUCCAACCUCGGCAUCGAGGAUGGAUGAAAGGUAGCCUCUAUUUAUAAGCUAUCACUGAAGGAGGGGAUUGCGUCUGAUUAGCUAGUUGGAGGGGUAACGGCCCACCAAGGCGAUGAUCAGUAGCCGGUCUGAGAGGAUGAACGGCCACAUUGGGACUGAGACACGGCCCAGACUCCUACGGGAGGCAGGCAGUGGGGAAUCUUCCGGCAAUGGACGAAAGUCUGACGGAGCAACGCCGCGUGAGUGAU